AAUUUCCUGGAAACAGGAAAGUGCCUCAUUAGAGGAGCUUGGUGACAGGUGCUGCAUGGCUGUCGUCAGCUCGUGUCGUGAGAUGUUGGGUUAAGUCCCGCAACGAGCGCAACCCUUGCCUUUAGUUGCCAUCAUUUAGUUGGGCACUCUAGAGGGACUGCCGGUGUCAAACCGGAGGAAGGUGGGGAUGACGUCAAGUCCUCAUGGCCUUUAUGACCAGGGCUACACACGUACUACAAUGGCAUGUACAAAGGGCAGCCACAGGGCGACCUGGAGCGAAUCCUUAAAACAUGUCUCAGUCCGGAUUGGAGUCUGCAACUCGACUCCAUGAAGUUGGAAUCGCUAGUAAUCGUAGAUCAGCAUGCUACGGUGAAUACGUUCCCGGGCCUUGUACACACCGCCCGUCACACCACGGGAGUUGGUUGUACCAGAAGUAGUUGAGCGAACCUUUAUGGGCGCAGGCUACCAAGGUAUGGUCGGUAACUGGGGUGAAGUCGUAACAAGGUA
Molecule: ribosomal RNA, 507 nt
Filed under: uncultured bacterium
Lineage: Bacteria
Description: bacterial SSU rRNA
Rfam family: Bacterial small subunit ribosomal RNA
Source: RNAcentral